UACGUAGGUGGCGAGCGUUGUCCGGAUUUACUGGGUGUAAAGGGCGUGUAGGCGGGGAUGUAAGUCAGAUGUGAAAUACCGAGGCUUAACUUCGGGGGUGCAUCUGAAACUAUGUUUCUUGAGUACUGGAGAGGGAAGCGGAAUUCCUAGUGUAGCGGUGAAAUGCGUAGAUAUUAGGAGGAACACCAGUGGCGAAGGCGGCUUCCUGGACAGUAACUGACGCUGAGGCGCGAAAGCGUGGGUAGCGAACAGGAUUAGAUACCCUGGUAGUCCACGCCGUAAACGAUGGAUACUAGGUGUAGGAGGUAUCGACCCCUUCUGUGCCGGAGUUAACACAAUAAGUAUCCCACCUGGGGAGUACGGCCGCAAGGCUGAAACUCAAAGGAAUUGACGGGGGCCCGCACAAGCAGUGGAGUAUGUGGUUUAAUUCGAAGCAACGCGAAGAACCUUACCAGGGCUUGACAUCCCUCGAAUACUAUAGAGAUAUAGUAGUCCUUCGGGACGAGGAGACAGGUGGUGCAUGGUU
This 526-nucleotide ribosomal RNA is filed under the name uncultured bacterium. RNAcentral describes it as "bacterial SSU rRNA". It matches the Rfam family "Bacterial small subunit ribosomal RNA", at positions 524 to 1050 of the family's 1533-position model. The record is from RNAcentral.